This is a non-coding RNA of Kogia breviceps (pygmy sperm whale), 530 nucleotides long. Lineage: Eukaryota; Metazoa; Chordata; Mammalia; Artiodactyla; Physeteridae. The record is from RefSeq and is a predicted model, not a curated record.
AGGCUGCAUUUCCCAGUCUCCACUGCAGUCUGUUGGCCAUGUGACUAGAUGCUCCUUGAGGGAAUCCAGAUCCUGGAUGUGGCAACCAGCCUCAAUCAUGCAGAUGACAAUAUGCUCUUGUUAUGCAAGAAUAACAAGUUAGAAGGAGCCUGGGUCCCUGAGUUACAACAUGGAAGACAGCCACUCACUGACCUGACCUGCUUUAGUUUUCCAUUGCUGACUGGACCAAAGCCAAACUCAGCCUCCUUCCUUGACCUUUCUGCAAAUCCUAACACUUUCCAACAUCUCACCAGGGCUCUCUCUUUCUGGCCUCUUUUCUCCCUUAUGUCAUAAUUAUUUUCUUCUUACACCCUACUUAUUUUCAGCUUUUUAUCUCAUGCUGUCCAUGCCUAAAAAGCUUUCACCUCACCCCCAAUGCUCAUAUUUCACAAGUAAAAUCUAAUCCUAACCUAAAAUAGUCUUUCCUUUUACUGGAAUUUCCUGGGCUCUAUAUGUAUAUGUAACUCAAAGCUAGUCAACAUACAUAACGU